Molecule: ribosomal RNA, 253 nt
Filed under: uncultured bacterium
Lineage: Bacteria
Description: partial 16S ribosomal RNA
Rfam family: Bacterial small subunit ribosomal RNA
Source: RNAcentral
UACGUAGGUGGCAAGCGUUAUCCGGAUUUAUUGGGCGUAAAGAGAACGCAGGCGGUCUUUUAAAUCUGAUGUGAAAGCCUUCGGCUUAACCGGAGUAGUGCAUUGGAAACUGGGAGACUUGAGUGCAGAAGAGGAGAGUGGAACUCCAUGUGUAGCGGUGAAAUGCGUAGAUAUAUGGAAGAACACCAGUGGCGAAAGCGGCUCUCUGGUCUGUAACUGACGCUGAGGUUCGAAAGCGUGGGUAGCAAACAGG